GAUCCUGGCUCAGGAUGAACGCUGGCGGCGUGCCUAAUACAUGCAAGUCGAGCGAACAGAUGAGGAGCUUGCUCCUCUGACGUUAGCGGCGGACGGGUGAGUAACACGUGGAUAACCUACCUAUAAGACUGGGAUAACUUCGGGAAACCGGAGCUAAUACCGGAUAAUAUAUUGAACCGCAUGGUUCAAUAGUGAAAGACGGUUUUGCUGUCACUUAUAGAUGGAUCCGCGCCGCAUUAG
Molecule: ribosomal RNA, 240 nt
Filed under: uncultured bacterium
Lineage: Bacteria
Description: partial 16S ribosomal RNA
Rfam family: Bacterial small subunit ribosomal RNA
Source: RNAcentral